GAUGCACAGGAAGAUUGGAUUGGUGUGCGGGGGUCCCCUACCUCGCCCAAGGAAUCAACAAUUGAACGCGCAGGAUCUCCAGCAUUAGAACCAGCAGAGCUCUCACCAGGAACACGUCUUUCAAAAAUCAGAAACAGAAAACGAAAAAAUGCCGCUCUUUAUGGUGUGGCGGACCAAAUGCUCAGCCAAAACAGGACUUUGCACCGAGAGCAGCUUAAGGAAUGGAGAGCAGAAAGACAGGAAAAUAUGAGGUGGUUGGAGGAGGAUAAGCGGGUACAAAUGGAUUUUCUGGAGGAAGCAAGGAGGGAAAGGAAUGAUUUGAGGGAGGCAUGGAGGGAAAACCUUGAUAUAAUGAGGGCUGCAGUCGGCACACUGCAAACGCUUGGGGAAUUGAUGGUUCAGCAAAAGCAGACGGUCAAUCCCUCUGACAUGGCACUCAGAAUUCCUGAAUCACAGCCAUCAAUUGUCAGAGCAGCCGGUGCUAAGCGUUCCUGUGUGGGAAAGGCCCGGGAGAGGUUGACGUUGUAGAAUUGUUUACAGAGCCCUCUUUCAUGUUAUGUUGUGUGUUGUGUUAACCAUCCACUGUCAGGGAAAGCAUUUCUAACAGUUAGUAUCAAGUGAUUGCCCAUGUCUGAAUAAUAGCGAUGAGUGAUGCAAAUCUAUUAGACAAGAUUGCGGUCAAUGCCCCUGAUCAACAACCACUGUUGGCAGUUUCAGCCUUGACAUUCCACCCAAAGCCCAAUGAUCACUUAUGUGGCGAACUAAGAACUCAGCAUUGUUGGUUAAACCCAAAAUAAAGUGUUUGUAUGUUGCAAA
Molecule: long non-coding RNA, 816 nt
Organism: Eublepharis macularius
Lineage: Eukaryota; Metazoa; Chordata; Lepidosauria; Squamata; Eublepharidae
Exons: 2
Source: RefSeq, a predicted model, not a curated record